Molecule: transfer RNA, 77 nt
Filed under: Verrucomicrobiales bacterium
Lineage: Bacteria; Pseudomonadati; Verrucomicrobiota; Verrucomicrobiia; Verrucomicrobiales
Also listed under: 1 other name
Description: tRNA-Arg
Rfam family: tRNA
About the family: Transfer RNA (tRNA) molecules are approximately 80 nucleotides in length. Their secondary structure includes four short double-helical elements and three loops (D, anti-codon, and T loops).
Source: RNAcentral
GCGGCCGUAGCUCAAUUGGCUAGAGCUUCUGACUUCGGAUCAGAAGGUUGCAGGUUCGAGCCCUGCCGGCCGUACCA